AAAAGGAAUUGUGGUUUUUGCCAUUUAAAAGUAAUGGCAAAAACUGCAAUUACUUU
Molecule: microRNA precursor, 56 nt
Filed under: Gorilla gorilla gorilla (western lowland gorilla)
Lineage: Eukaryota; Metazoa; Chordata; Mammalia; Primates; Hominidae
Description: miRNA (ENSGGOG00000043030.1)
Source: RNAcentral